GACGGACGCUGGCGGCGUGCUUAACACAUGCAAGUCGAACGGGCCUUGUCCCCUUUUUUUUGGGGGUGGGGUUAGUGGCGAACGGGUGAGUAACACGUGAGUAACCUGCCCCUCACUUCUGGAUAACCGCUUGAAAGGGUGGCUAAUACGGGGUGUUCUGGCCUGCUCGCAUGGGUGGGUUUGGAAAGAUUCGACCGGUUUUGGUUGUUUUGGUGGGGGAUGGGCUCGCGGCCUAUCAGCUUGUUGGUGGGGUGAUGGCCUGCCAAGGCUUUGACGGGUAGCCGGCCUGAGAGGGUGGGCGGUCACACUGGGACUGAGACACGGCCCAGACUCCUACGGGAGGCAGCAGUGGGGAAUAUUGCACAAUGGGCGCAAGCCUGAUGCAGCGACGCCGCGUGAGGGAUGGAGGCCGUCGGGUUGUGAACCUCUUUCGCCAGUGAAGAAGGUCCUGCUCUUUGUGGUGGGGUUGACGGUAGCUGGGUUAAUGAAGCGCCGGCUAACUACGUG
This 507-nucleotide ribosomal RNA is filed under the name uncultured bacterium. RNAcentral's name for it is "partial 16S ribosomal RNA". It matches the Rfam family "Bacterial small subunit ribosomal RNA", at positions 28 to 507 of the family's 1533-position model. The record is from RNAcentral.